AGAGUUUGAUCAUGGCUCAGGACGAACGCUGGCGGCGUGCCUAAUACAUGCAAGUCGAACGCUGAUUGUUUAACCGAUGCUUGCAUCAACCAAACAAUCGGAGUGGCGAACGGGUGAGUAACACGUGGGUAACCUGCCUAUUAGAGGGGGAUAACACUUGGAAACAGGUGCUAAUACCGCAUAAGAGCGAUAACCGCAUGGUUAUUGUUUAAAAGGCGCUUAUGGUGUCACUGAUAGAUGGACCCGCGGUGCAUUAGCUAGUCGGUGGGGUAAAGGCCUACCGAGGCGAUGAUGCAUAGCCGACCUGAGAGGGUGAUCGGCCACAUUGGGACUGAGACACGGCCCAAACUCCUACGGGAGGCAGCAGUAGGGAAUCUUCGGCAAUGGACGAAAGUCUGACCGAGCAACGCCGCGUGAGUGAAGAAGGUUUUCGGAUCGUAAAGCUCUGUUGUUAGAGAAGAACAAGUAGAAUAGUAACUGAUUCUACCUUGACGGUAUCUAACCAGAAAGCCACGGCUAACUACGUGCCAGCAGCCGCGGUAAUACGUAGGUGGCAAGCGUUGUCCGGAUUUAUUGGGCGUAAAGCGAGCGCAGGCGGUCUUUUAAGUCUGAUGUGAAAGCCUCCGGCUUAACCGGAGAGGGUCAUUGGAAACUGGGAGACUUGAGUGCAGAAGAGGAAAGUGGAACUCCAUGUGUAGCGGUGGAAUGCGCAGAUAUAUGGAAGAACACCAAUGGCGAAGGCAGCUUACUGGACAGAGAUUGACGCUGAGAUGCGAAAGCGUGGGGAGCAAACAGGAUUAGAUACCCUGGUAGU
Molecule: ribosomal RNA, 814 nt
Filed under: uncultured bacterium
Lineage: Bacteria
Description: bacterial SSU rRNA
Rfam family: Bacterial small subunit ribosomal RNA
Source: RNAcentral